Molecule: ribosomal RNA, 423 nt
Filed under: uncultured eukaryote
Lineage: Eukaryota
Description: SSU rRNA
Rfam family: Eukaryotic small subunit ribosomal RNA
Source: RNAcentral
CAAUAGCGUAUAUUAAAGUUGUUGCAGUUAAAAAGCUCGUAGUUGGAUUUCUGGCAGGAGCGACGGUCCGCCGCCAAGGUGGUGCACUAGGUUGUCUCCAGUCAUCUUUGUGGGAACUGCUCUGGCAUUAGGUUGUCGGGUUAGGGAACACAUCGUUUACUGUGAAAAAAUUAGAGUGUUUAAAGCAGGCUUAUGCCGUUGAAUACAUUAGCAUGGAAUAAUAAGAUAGGACUUUGGUGGUCUAUUUUGUUGGUUUGCACACCAAGGUAAUGAUUAAUAGGGAUAGGUUGGGGGUAUUCGUAUUUAAUUGUCAGAGGUGAAAUUCUUGGAUUUAUGAAAGACGAACUACUGCGAAAGCAUUUACCAAAGAUGUUUUCAUUAAUCAAGAACGAAAGUUAGGGGAUCGAAGAUGAUUAGAUCCGU